CCCUUAGAUGUUCUGGGCCGCACGCGCGCUACACUGACAGAGCCAACGAGUUCUUCACCUUGGCCGGAAGGUCUGGGUAAUCUUGUUAAACUCUGUCGUGCUGGGGAUAGAGCAUUGCAAUUAUUGCUCUUCAACGAGGAAUGCCUAGUAAGCGCGUGCCAUCAGCACGCGUUGAUUACGUCCCUGCCCUUUGUACACACCGCCCGUCGCUACUACCGAUUGAAUGGCUCAGUGAGGCCUUCGGACUGGCUCAGGGAGGUUGGCAACGACCACCCCGAGCCGGAAAGUUCGUCAAACUCGGUCAUUUAGAGGAAGUAAAAGUCGUAACA
This 329-nucleotide ribosomal RNA is filed under the name uncultured eukaryote. RNAcentral's name for it is "partial 18S ribosomal RNA". It matches the Rfam family "Eukaryotic small subunit ribosomal RNA", at positions 1470 to 1796 of the family's 1831-position model. The record is from RNAcentral.